GAUGAACGCUGGCGGCGUGCCUAAUACAUGCAAGUCGAGCGAACAGACGAGGAGCUUGCUCCUCUGACGUUAGCGGCGGACGGGUGAGUAACACGUGGAUAACCUACCUAUAAGACUGGGAUAACUUCGGGAAACCGGAGCUAAUACCGGAUAAUCUAUUGAACCGCAUGGUUCAAUAGUGAAAGACGGUUUUGCUGUCACUUAUCGAUGGAUCUGCGCCGCAUUAGCUAGUUGGUAAGGUAACGGCUUACCAAGGCAACGAUGCGUAGCCGACCUGAGAGGGUGAUCGGCCACACUGGAACUGAGACACGGUCCAGACUCCUACGGGAGGCAGCAGUAGGGAAUCUUCCGCAAUGGGCGAAAGCCUGACGGAGCAACGCCGCGUGAGUGAUGAAGGUCUUCGGAUCGUAAAACUCUGUUAUGAGGGAAGAACAAAUGUGUAAGUAACUAUGCACGUCUUGACGGUACCUAAUCAGAAAGCCACGGCUAACUACGUG
Molecule: ribosomal RNA, 497 nt
Filed under: uncultured bacterium
Lineage: Bacteria
Description: partial 16S ribosomal RNA
Rfam family: Bacterial small subunit ribosomal RNA
Source: RNAcentral